RNAcentral lists this ribosomal RNA (83 nucleotides) under Prolemur simus (greater bamboo lemur). Lineage: Eukaryota; Metazoa; Chordata; Mammalia; Primates; Lemuridae. The record is from RNAcentral.
CCAAUCAGACAUACCACUGUGAAUGAGCCCGAUCUCAUCUGAUGUCAGAAGACAAGCAGGGUCAGGCCUGGUUAGUGCUUGGA